Macrobrachium nipponense is the source of this 1665-nucleotide long non-coding RNA. RefSeq lists it as uncharacterized. The record is from RefSeq and is a predicted model, not a curated record. Lineage: Eukaryota; Metazoa; Arthropoda; Malacostraca; Decapoda; Palaemonidae. The transcript is spliced from 3 exons.
GUGUAGUGUAACUCAUAGUCUUUGUUGUAACUCGUCAGUUUAUAAACUUUAAAUGGCUUUUCUGUGUUGUGCUCUCGGUAAAUCCUAUUUUAGUGGUGCUUUUCGUGACAUUUUACGUGUUCGACACGUUGUAAGGAACGUAAAUUACCUUGGAAAUGAAUUACCAUCGGUAUUUAUUCCGCAAUACUCAAACAAUGUCCUUGGAACUCGGCUCAAGUUUGAAGAACGACGUGAGGUUUAUCCCUGUGGUUUCAAUGGUGUACGAGUCUUCACGAUAAAUUAGGGUUAAAUCCUGAUAAAAUACGGUACGUAAGCUUGACAGGAAAGACUCCCCGUCAGAUCGAAGGACAACAUUUCCCUCUUCGACUUAUCCUUCAAAAAAUCCCCGAUGCCUGAAUUAUUUCAACGAAGACGGAGGGGAACGACCUUCUCCCCAAUGUCAAAGUCUAGUCAUCAAAACGCUUCACUGUUGAGGCUACACAAUCCUGUCAAGGUCAGAGGGUACGCGGGACAAGCUCAUUAAUAUUUUAAUGCCCACCAAGGCAUUGAAAUAGAAAGAGGGCAUUCAUUGGCCCUGCCUGUGCAAACCUGGAUGAAAGAUGAAGUCGUUUGUAAGGGUAAGCUGCCCAAACCAAUCGUUUGAAGGAAACAAACAUAAUUGAAUUAACCAAUAAAACUUGUCUAAUAAGAGCAGAUCCUAGAGGUCUAUUUGGGGCGCUAGCCACCUAAUGAAGUCCUGUAGAACUUGUGUCAAAGUCCAGUGAUUGUUAUUUUACCUAUACCUGACACAUUUGUAUAUUAAACUUGUAGUUUUUGAGAAACUAUACAUUUUGCUUCUUAUUUUCGGUUCCACUACACCGGAAACACCUGUGAGAUAUACAAAUUAAUGCCAUGCACAAUAAUGCAUAUACAUAUAACAGAUUACAGCCGAAACUUGAAGUUUUUCCUACUGUGAUACACAUUCCUAGUGAUAAAAGCAUCAAAACAAGACUUGGCCGAUUUCCACGGAAUUCCUUUGCCUUCAUGACAUCAUCCUCAAAAUGAACCGGAGACUUGCAGAUAAAUUUUAAAAUUUCAUGUGUUGUUUUGAAGCCCGAGUUUUUUCUGAGAAAUGUUUGUUUGCUCAACUAUAAUUUUGAGGAUGCAUAUGCAUUAGAACUACGUGUGCACGAAUGAACAGACCAAGUAUAAUAAAACUCUGUUGAAAUAAAUAAAACAGAGGUAAAGAAAUUCCAUAGGAGCAAACAAGAAAAAAUACCAAGUAGAUGCCACGAAAUAAACAUUAAACAAACGAAAUGAUACAGUAUAUUAAUUGAGCCGAGUUUAUUCACCACCUGCCAUGGUAGGGUAUGGAUGAAACUUGUAGUAGGACUAUAUCUGUGAAACGUUAUUUAUAUCAAAGCAUAACAGGUAACUGCAGAGUAAGAAUCCAGGGUCAGACCCAGCUGGUUGUGCGUGCGCCACUGGCAGUAAAUAUGACAUCUCCUCCAAAUCUCUCUCUCUCUCUCUCUCUCUCUCUCUCUCUCUCUCUCUCUCUCUCUCUCUCUCUCUCGCCUCACCUCAUCCAUCUCGGUUACACUGGUAACUUGCAUAUAUCUCUUGAUUUCGGUUACGAAACACCUCGGUUUGUAAUUUAUUUAGCUUUUCAUUUAUAACAUAGUCAUU